GGCUUCCGUCAGUUAUCUAUAA
This 22-nucleotide small RNA is filed under the name Arabidopsis thaliana (thale cress). RNAcentral describes it as "ATSL051380". Lineage: Eukaryota; Viridiplantae; Streptophyta; Magnoliopsida; Brassicales; Brassicaceae. The record is from RNAcentral.